GUCUUGUUAAGCAUUGCCCAUGUGGUAGGUAGCCAAGUUUAGACAUUCAAGUUCAAUUUACUUGCUUGUCAUAUGAGCACAUACGACUGCACAACUUCUUUCUCUUAUUUAUUUAUUGAUUCAUACAUUUUUAUUGAACCAUCCUCCUCUUUCUUUCCCCCACCUACACAUACACAAACAGAGCCCCUGAAUUGGCAUUUCAACAGUGGUUUACAAUUCUCUAUAUUUCAACUGUGUUGCUGCAAAACCAUUUUGUAUGAACUGUGUCUCUUGAUUAGGAACUGUAUCAAUAUGUCAAAGCAAAGAGAUGAAUUUAGAAGUUUGAAGAGUAGUGUUAAAAAGAAAGUAUUAGACAUCUUAAGGAACUGUUGGUGCCUUGAUGGCAGUGGCAGUUGGACAUGAGACGGUUUCCCGUUCUUUGAUUUUUUUAUUCUGAAGCACCUUAUGAGCCCCAUAUUGUUUGGGAUUGAAGUUAAGUACCUUAUUAGCCGCAACUUGUUUUGGGUUAAAGUUUAGUUGAGUUGAAAUACCUUAUUAGCCUUGUCUUGUUUGGGUUUAAAGUUUAGUUGAGUUGAAGUACCUUGUUAGUCCCAACAACUUUGGGUGCAAGGUUUAGUUUGGUCGAGUAUGUUAUUGGUUUAUGCAAAGUUGAUCCUUUUCGCUCUCCAACACAAUAAUCCUGGUAGAAGUAAAUGUUAGUGAAAGAAGACAUCUUAUUAAGUAUUGUUACAAUCCCAUUGCAAGAAAACUUGUCGCACAUUGAAACGCCAUAUAUACCCCACAUUGAAAUCUUAUACUUUCGACAUGGGACACAAGUUUUUCUUGGAUUGGAUUGUAACACUGAGUCUACUAAUCCAUUUACUAGUCUUUGCAUCAAACUUAGGAAAUAAUUGUUCUGUCCUGCUCAGGCUUCAGCAGUUUGAGUGCAAGCUUCAAUGAAAUUAUUAUUGUGUGGGAAUUUGGGGAUUCUAAUUAAUCCCUAAAAGUAGAAUCACCUUCUAGAUGCAACAAGACUCAUCUUCUUAAUUUGUUUUUCAUUUAAAAACUUAAAGUUCUUAUUUUAAAUUAACAAUAAUUCCAAGAUAAGUAAGUUUCUGAAUAAAUCCUAAAUAUUUUUUUUUCCUUUCGUGAGAUCAUUUCAAAUUCAAUUAUAUUUAUUUUUCCUUGCUUCUGUUAAGCUAUGGGCUGUCUUUAUUUGACCCGGAGCAGUGUGCGAGUAAUUUGGUGCAAGUAAUCAAGGUUUCUAGACUUGCUUUUUUACCUUAGAACAAAUUGUG
Molecule: unclassified non-coding RNA, 1277 nt
Filed under: Hevea brasiliensis (rubber tree)
Lineage: Eukaryota; Viridiplantae; Streptophyta; Magnoliopsida; Malpighiales; Euphorbiaceae
Source: RNAcentral